AAACAAACAGUACAGACGCAUGCAGUUACGCGGCUGUCCGUGGUAAGUUUAUAAGAGUUGUUUCUACUCCACCUUGCUGUAGUACUUUCCACACUAUAGCUUGCUUUAAAACUUGUUAGGUUUGAGCUGCAUGGAACUAGGAGUGUUGUCAUCAAUAUAAGGUCUGAUUUCCUUCCUGGACCUCUUCAAUUCAUCCAUCUGUCCUCAUAAUCAUCUGUGGAGGAGAUUACGGUGUAAUGAACCUUGUCUAGAAUGUACUUGUGGCAUCCAAGGUCAUUACUAGCCUAUUAUUAGGAUCCCGGCCGGCAAUGGACAACAGCCUGACCAGCUGACUGAGCAAGAAGUAGAGAGGUAAAUAGUUCUCGUUGGAUGAGGGACCUGAAGUCAUAUUCCGUCAAUAGCCAAUGUCACUUUGACCUCUCUCCCUAGGAUAUACAUGACUAGAGAGUCGGCUUGGAUGGGCCCGUAGCACUUUUCCCUCUGACUGUCCUAGGUUGUGUGUGUGUGUAAGUGCUGGUAGGUCUGUGCUCAGAUUGCAUGCACACUGUAGCACAGUGGACCGGUGACUGUAGUUGCUCUGCAUGAAUUGUGUGGCACAGUGUUUGCUACAAACCUUCUACAGAGCCCAACCCACUCUCGUUAGCUUCACAUGUCUGGGUUUGCCUGCUCUGUGUGUUCGUCGUAACGCACAAUCACUCGUGGUGCAGUUUGAUUGUAUAGUUCCUUGCUGUAUGUACAUGUAGUAGGUGGAUGUGGUUGACUGGUUACUACUCUCUCUGUUUUGAUGUGAAGUUUUCUUCGCCAGCUGCCUAUAACCAGUUUAUUAAAGGGAAUAAAUAAGUCUGCUGCAUGGGACACUGGCCUAUAUAUAGGACCAUAGAGCAAGGACACAGACGCAGUCACAACAGUGAGUUCGGCUUUGAAGAUUCUUGAGUUGACAAGAGCGAGGGAGGACUGAGAAAUAGAGUGAGAAAAGUGGGGGAGUCAGUUACAGACGUUGACUUCCUGAUGGUGUUAAGCUGGAGUGUAUGAAGCUCACCUUGUUCAACCAGUCAAGAACAACAAGCGAGUCACCACAUUCAAAACAGUAGUCACCGCUGAGACCCCAAUUUGACCUUAUCGCUGUCAUUUGAUUCUGUUUGUCUGCGUUUUGGAUGCUUCAAGUUUAUUUUUAAGUUACUGCACUCCAUUUCACUACAGUUGAAGCUCUACUAGCAAUCAGCGCCAUGCAGUGGGAUAAAUUAAGUCCUGGACAGUUCGAGCAGUUACUGGAUUACGUCACAUGUAAGUACCAACUUUUGCUGCUUUUGUAAAUGUCCUAUUUUGUAAAUGUCCUAACAUGAAAUCGUCCGCCUCAGAACUAUUAUGAGGUCAUUUAUGGCAGUUUCAUAUAUACGUAAUGAUGAAAAGGUUCUUAAAUAAAAAA
Molecule: long non-coding RNA, 1426 nt
Organism: Asterias rubens (European starfish)
Lineage: Eukaryota; Metazoa; Echinodermata; Asteroidea; Forcipulatida; Asteriidae
Exons: 3
Source: RefSeq, a predicted model, not a curated record